GGCACGCUGCACUCUCGGACCCGGCACGCCAGACGGACGCGGGGCGGCCCCGCCGCCAGCGUCCCCGAAGAGAAUCGAACGGGUCUCUCUCCCGCGAGACGCGCGCGCCCGGCCAGGCGGCCCGGCGCGGCGGCGUCGAGAGGGGGCGC
RNAcentral lists this unclassified non-coding RNA (149 nucleotides) under Erythrophleum sp. AU2. RNAcentral's name for it is "partial external transcribed spacer". Lineage: Eukaryota; Viridiplantae; Streptophyta; Magnoliopsida; Fabales; Fabaceae. The record is from RNAcentral.